CAGUAGCCGCGGUAAUACGUAGGUGGCAAGCGUUGUCCGGAAUUAUUGGGCGUAAAGGGCUCGCAGGCGGUUUCUUAAGUCUGAUGUGAAAGCCCCCGGCUCAACCGGGGAGGGUCAUUGGAAACUGGGAAACUUGAGUGCAGAAGAGGAGAGUGGAAUUCCACGUGUAGCGGUGAAAUGCGUAGAGAUGUGGAGGAACACCAGUGGCGAAAGCGACUCUCUGGUCUGUAACUGACGCUGAGGAGCGAAAGCGUGGGGAGCGAACAGGAUUAGAUACCCCCGUAGUCCCUGUCUCUUAUAC
Molecule: ribosomal RNA, 301 nt
Filed under: uncultured bacterium
Lineage: Bacteria
Description: partial 16S ribosomal RNA
Rfam family: Bacterial small subunit ribosomal RNA
Source: RNAcentral